RNAcentral lists this ribosomal RNA (512 nucleotides) under uncultured bacterium. RNAcentral's name for it is "bacterial SSU rRNA". It matches the Rfam family "Bacterial small subunit ribosomal RNA", at positions 15 to 518 of the family's 1533-position model. The record is from RNAcentral.
GAUCCUGGCUCAGGAUGAACGCUAGCUACAGGCUUAACACAUGCAAGUCGAGGGGCAGCGGGAUCUAGCUUGCUAGAUUGCCGGCGACCGGCGCACGGGUGAGUAACGCGUAUCCAACCUUCCCCUUAGUAGGGCAUAGCCCGUAGAAAUGCGGAUUAAUACCCUAUGUUUUCCAAUGAGGACAUCUGAGCUGGAACAAAGAUUCAUCGCUAAGGGAUGGGGAUGCGUCUGAUUAGGCCGCAGGCGGGGUAACGGCCCACCUGGCCGACGAUCAGUAGGGGUUCUGAGAGGAAGGUCCCCCACAUUGGAACUGAGACACGGUCCAAACUCCUACGGGAGGCAGCAGUGAGGAAUAUUGGUCAAUGGUCGAGAGACUGAACCAGCCAAGUAGCGUGCAGGAUGACGGCCCUAUGGGUUGUAAACUGCUUUUAUGCGGGGAUAAAGUUCACUACGUGUAGUGUUUUGUAGGUACCGCAUGAAUAAGGACCGGCUAAUUCCGUGCCAGCCGCGGC